RNAcentral lists this ribosomal RNA (497 nucleotides) under uncultured bacterium. RNAcentral's name for it is "partial 16S ribosomal RNA". It matches the Rfam family "Bacterial small subunit ribosomal RNA", at positions 28 to 507 of the family's 1533-position model. The record is from RNAcentral.
GAUGAACGCUGGCGGCGUGCCUAAUACAUGCAAGUCGAGCGAACAGACGAGGAGCUUGCUCCUUCGACGUUAGCGGCGGACGGGUGAGUAACACGUAGGUAAGCUACCUAUAAGACUGGGAGAACUUCGGGAAACCGGAGCUAAUACCGGAUAAUAUUUCGAACCGCAUGGUUCGAUAGUGAAAGAUGGCUUUGCUAUCACUUAUAGAUGGACCUGCGCCGUAUUAGCUAGUUGGUAAGGUAACGGCUUACCAAGGCAACGAUCCGUAGCCGACCUGAGAGGAUGAUCGGCCACACUGGAACUGAGACACGGUCCAGACUCCUACGGGAGGCAGCAGUAGGGAAUCUUCCGCAAUGGGCGAAAGCCUGACGGAGCAACGCCGCGUGAGUGAUGAAGGUCUUCGGAUCGUAAAACUCUGUUAUUAGGGAAGAACAAACGUGUAAGUAACUGUGCACGUCUUGACGGUACCUAAUCAGAAAGCCACGGCUAACUACGUG